This 878-nucleotide ribosomal RNA is filed under the name uncultured bacterium. RNAcentral's name for it is "bacterial SSU rRNA". It matches the Rfam family "Bacterial small subunit ribosomal RNA", at positions 29 to 920 of the family's 1533-position model. The record is from RNAcentral.
ACGAACGCUGGCGGCGCGCCUAACACAUGCAAGUCGAACGAGAGAUGAGGAGCUUGCUCUUCAAAUCGAGUGGCGAACGGGUGAGUAACGCGUGAGGAACCUGCCUCAAAGAGGGGGACAACAGUUGGAAACGACUGCUAAUACCGCAUAAGCCCACGGCUCGGCAUCGAGCAGAGGGAAAAGGAGCAAUCCGCUUUGAGAUGGCCUCGCGUCCGAUUAGCUAGUUGGUGAGGUAAUGGCCCACCAAGGCGACGAUCGGUAGCCGGACUGAGAGGUUGAACGGCCACAUUGGGACUGAGACACGGCCCAGACUCUUACGGGAGGCAGCAGUGGGGAAUAUUGCACAAUGGGGGAAACCCUGAUGCAGCGACGCCGCGUGGAGGAAGAAGGUCUUCGGAUUGUAAACUCCUGUUGUUGAGGAAGAUAAUGACGGUACUCAACAAGAAAGUGACGGCUAACUACGUGCCAGCAGCCGCGGUAAAACGUAGGUCACAAGCGUUGUCCGGAAUUACUGGGUGUAAAGGGAGCGCAGGCGGGAGAACAAGUUGGAAGUGAAAUCCAUGGGCUCAACCCAUGAACUGCUUUCAAAACUGUUUUUCUUGAGUAGUGCAGAGGUAGGCGGAAUUCCCGGUGUAGCGGUGGAAUGCGUAGAUAUCGGGAGGAACACCAGUGGCGAAGGCGGCCUACUGGGCACCAACUGACGCUGAGGCUCGAAAGUGUGGGUAGCAAACAGGAUUAGAUACCCUGGUAGUCCACACCGUAAACGAUGAUUACUAGGUGUUGGAGGAUUGACCCCUUCAGUGCCGCAGUUAACACAAUAAGUAAUCCACCUGGGGAGUACGACCGCAAGGUUGAAACUCAAAUGAAUUGACGGAAGG